Panthera uncia (snow leopard) is the source of this 1114-nucleotide long non-coding RNA. RefSeq lists it as uncharacterized. The record is from RefSeq and is a predicted model, not a curated record. Lineage: Eukaryota; Metazoa; Chordata; Mammalia; Carnivora; Felidae. The transcript has 3 exons.
ACCAUUAACUGCCCAAACGCUCAACAAAUUGCCUGGGUAGGCUCGGAAUGACCCAUUAACUAGGGACAAAACUACAAAAAUUACGGGGAGGCUCUGCCUCUUCAAAUGGUUAACGACAGGCCUAACUGCCGAAGUCCCCAAAUCCGACCGUGUGGGACAGUUGUUUACUGGGAGCGAAGGCACAGAGGCUUUCCCUCGCUUUCCGACGAGGUGAAGGAGCCUCGGGGGGGUGGGGGGCACCUCACUGAGGGAUUUUCAGAGGCAGGAAAUUCUUGAAAUAAACCUCUGGGCCUCGCACAUGGUUUUCAGUGUCCUUACUACCUAGGUUUAUCGACCAGAACUCAAGAGCAAAUGGGCUCUAUGUCUCCCUUCCCCUCAACAUUCUCACGUGGUGUCACAACAGACUGUGACAUCGCGCCACCUCCACGGUAACGUGCCCACGUGACAGACAACACCCCACCCGAGCAGCCAAGCGCAAACCAACCAUGGGACACGAGAAGCCCGAUCGCCAGCACCCUGAACCCCUCACUUCAACGUGAGCAGAAGAGCCGGUCCGGUGCUGAGACCCGGAUGGGAACGCACCUACAGCCAGAAGUCAAUUUCUCCAAUGGAAAUGGAGAAAUCUGCACUUGGAAUGGGAGACAAAUCAAUAAAUGGGACUUCAUAUCCUGCUAAUGGCUGCACACUGCAGUUUGAAAACAUCGUAUAGGCCCCACGACAGCAUAUAGGAUAUUGUACAGUGUGGACACUUCUUCCUCCCACAACUGAUUUUACAUACCUAACAUCACCACUUCACAGCAGUUACGUUGUGAGUAUUUUGAGAGGAAGACUAAGACAAAUGGCCCACUGAACUGCAGUUACCUUUUCCUUAUCCCAACGUAAGUGAACGUUUUUUUCCCCCUAAGAAUGGAAAAAAACAAACAAAAAAAAAAAGGUAAACAGGACCUUUCAGAGGGGAAAAGGGCCGUGUGUUAAAAAGUUUUCUCGACCAAAGUACAUCAGGGACCAAAACUGGGGCCAAGAGGGAAAAUGGAACUUCAACGUGUUUUGUCUUUUAACGGAACUUAUGCUUGUAAAACACAUCGGAAGUACAAGUGUUUGGUUCUGCAAGUCA